GAGUAAAAAAAAAAAAAAAAAAUAAUAUUGAAGAAAAAAAGGAGUCAAAAAGUGUACAUAACAGAAAAAAUACAAAAUCAAAAAGAUAUGAGAAUUCUUCUGCUUCGCUGUUUUUCUUAGAUGUCUUAGCUGAGAGAGAGAGAAAGAGAGAGAGGGUUUUAAUUUUAAUUUUUAAUUUUUGUGUGUUUUUCCUAUCUCAAUAUAUCUAAAUAUCUAUCAGUAUGUUUAUCUAUCUGCUAUUCUACUGCUCUACUAAUUCUAUCUUUGCGUUUUUCUUUUUCCUUCUUUUCUAUUUCUUUCUCCUUCUUUUCUGCCUGAUAUAAUUUCAUUUUUCCUUUUUCUUUGUUAUUUUUUAGCUUUUAGAAAAUCUUUCUUCUUUGUGACCACAUAAUAAAAGGUCAAGUGAAACCUCAACCCUG
RNAcentral lists this long non-coding RNA (419 nucleotides) under Nicotiana benthamiana. RNAcentral describes it as "long non-coding RNA (NBEN_LNC012624)". Lineage: Eukaryota; Viridiplantae; Streptophyta; Magnoliopsida; Solanales; Solanaceae. The record is from RNAcentral.